AUGGGUCCCUCUGAGGAGAGAUAAAGAGUCUAGGACUUUUCAGCUUGGAAAAGAGGAGUAUAAGGGAGGAUAUGAUCGAGGUAUACAAAAUGAUGUGUGAUGUGGA
Molecule: non-coding RNA, 106 nt
Organism: Chelonoidis abingdonii (Abingdon island giant tortoise)
Lineage: Eukaryota; Metazoa; Chordata; Testudines; Testudinidae
Source: RefSeq, a predicted model, not a curated record